Molecule: long non-coding RNA, 613 nt
Filed under: Vigna radiata
Lineage: Eukaryota; Viridiplantae; Streptophyta; Magnoliopsida; Fabales; Fabaceae
Description: long non-coding RNA (VRAD_LNC012084)
Source: RNAcentral
AAAAAAUUGACAUGGACAAAUUUAAAACGCAACAGAGAAAUAAAUUAAAAAUAUGCAUACCAAAUGGAAUUUAAAGUGUAAAAGCAAUAUGAAAUUAAAGUGGAGAAACCAAAUGGGAUUUAAAGCACAAUGCAGCGAAGAAGUCAAUUGCAACUAAUUCUAUUAAAAUACUAUUAAUCUAAAAAGUGAAUGAUGAUUUUAGUAGCUAGCAAUGCCAUUCAUUAAUGAGAAACAAUGCAAGGAAAAGUACGAAGAAAAGAUGCGUGAAGACGUGAAUUAGAUUGGUGGAAAGGUAAUGAUAACAUGGAGAAACGUGAGUGAUGAAUCAAUAAAAUAAGUUAACAUUGAGCAUGAACUGUAAUGUAACGUUAAUGCAGUAGAAAACUUAAAUCAAUCUCGGUGCAUACUUGAAUACAAUAUAAAAAAAAAAACCUUCUUGAACUACAAUUAAAGGACGUUACAAUGCUGCCAGUGUGCUUCCCAAGAUAAAAAAAAAAAAAAACUAGUGAAUACAACGUUUCAGUCGUAGCCCUCCAUUGGCGGCUUCUCCAAGGAAUAUCAAAUUCUCUCCAAUUGUUCCAACCAGCCAAAAAAAUUUGAGUAUGGGGUGACG